Molecule: non-coding RNA, 125 nt
Organism: Enterococcus asini ATCC 700915
Lineage: Bacteria; Bacillati; Bacillota; Bacilli; Lactobacillales; Enterococcaceae
Source: Rfam
UAGGGAACGGGGUGCAAAUCCUCGACAGUCCCUUUCUACUGUAACACGGACGAAAGCUCAUUACUCACUGAGGUAGCAUCACUUGGGAAGAGGAGCAGGUAGGAUGAAGUGAAGUCAGGAUACCU